Molecule: ribosomal RNA, 232 nt
Filed under: uncultured bacterium
Lineage: Bacteria
Description: partial 16S ribosomal RNA
Rfam family: Bacterial small subunit ribosomal RNA
Source: RNAcentral
CGGACGGGUGAGUAAUGUCUGGGAAACUGCCCGAUGGAGGGGGAUAACUACUGGAAACGGUAGCUAAUACCGCAUAACGUCGCAAGACCAAAGAGGGGGACCUUCGGGCCUCUUGCCAUCGGAUGUGCCCAGAUGGGAUUAGCUAGUAGGUGGGGUAACGGCUCACCUAGGCGACGAUCCCUAGCUGGUCUGAGAGGAUGACCAGCUACACUGGAACUGAGACACGGUCCAG